UCAUUUCCUAUAUGACAGUGAAUAUAGCUACAGCAACAGGAUGGUGGACAUUAUGGUCUACAUGACCUCCAACGAGUAAGAAACCCUGAACCACUGCCCCCCACCCCCAGCAAAAACACUGAGAGCAAGAGAGAGGCCCUCAGUUGCUGAGGAGUUGCUGUCCCAACUCAGCCCCACACUGAGCAUCUCCCUCACAAUUUUCAUCCCAGACACCCAUAGCAACAGGAGGGACCUAGGGAGCCCUCCCUAAUUUCUUGAACACUAUCAGUAAAAUUCACUGCACCCCCCAAAAGAAAUUAGAUGUCAACAAACCAAAUAACCCACUUAAAAAUGGGAUACAGAGCUAAAUGUAGAAUUCUUAACAGAGUAACCUUGAAUGGCCAAGAAGCACUUAAGGGAAUGUUCAGUGUUUUGGUCACAAAGGAAAUGCAACUCAAAACAACCCUGAGAUUCCAUCCAGAUACUUUGUUAGAAUGGCUAAGA
This 483-nucleotide long non-coding RNA is filed under the name Mus musculus (house mouse). Its description in RNAcentral is "predicted gene, 61634". Lineage: Eukaryota; Metazoa; Chordata; Mammalia; Rodentia; Muridae. The record is from RNAcentral.